GAGUUUGAUCCUGGCUCAGGACGAACGCUGGCGGCGCGCCUAACACAUGCAAGUCGAACGAGCGAGAGAGAGCUUGCUUUCUCGAGCGAGUGGCGAACGGGUGAGUAACGCGUGAGGAACCUGCCUCAAAGAGGGGGACAACAGUUGGAAACGACUGCUAAUACCGCAUAAGCCCACGGCUCGGCAUCGAGCAGAGGGAAAAGGAGCAAUCCGCUUUGAGAUGGCCUCGCGUCCGAUUAGCUAGUUGGUGAGGUAACGGCCCACCAAGGCGACGAUCGGUAGCCGGACUGAGAGGUUGAACGGCCACAUUGGGACUGAGACACGGCCCAGACUCCUACGGGAGGCAGCAGUGGGGAAUAUUGCACAAUGGGGGAAACCCUGAUGCAGCGACGCCGCGUGGAGGAAGAAGGUCUUCGGAUUGUAAACUCCUGUUGUUGAGGAAGAUAAUGACGGUACUCAACAAGGAAGUGACGGCUAACUACGUGCCAGCCGCCGCGGUAAUUC
This 504-nucleotide ribosomal RNA is filed under the name uncultured bacterium. RNAcentral describes it as "bacterial SSU rRNA". It matches the Rfam family "Bacterial small subunit ribosomal RNA", at positions 9 to 526 of the family's 1533-position model. The record is from RNAcentral.